This is a non-coding RNA of Labrus bergylta (ballan wrasse), 524 nucleotides long. The record is from RefSeq and is a predicted model, not a curated record. Lineage: Eukaryota; Metazoa; Chordata; Actinopteri; Labriformes; Labridae.
UGACAGUCACCACAAAGAUCCAACUAUCAUAUUAUACUUCUACUGGGGGGGAAAAAAAGGAAAAUAAUGUGUUUGAUAUUAAACCGGUAGAUUUAUAAAGACCUUUUAUAACAACAUAAAAUCAUGGCUGUAAGAGCAGUAAUCUUGUGAAAUGUCAGAACUGUGGAGAUCAGAAUUUCCCCGAGGCCUGGGUACAGCGACAACUCAAUGAGAUCCAGAGUGCUCGAACUUCAGCUGAGGUGGGGGGAGGGUGACCCACGUCCAGUCUCCUCUGAGCGGAGCCUCUUUUUCGAGCAGCUGGCACCGCGCUGACUACACUUCCCAGAGUGCCCGGGGUCUGGAAGAAAGCCUUGGAAGCAGACGGCGUGGUUUCCUUUGGAGUAUGAGGGGUCUGUGAAGGCUCCGAACCGGACGACCUCUGCACUUCGGGCUGCUCUGGCGUUCUGUACAGCAUGACCACCGAGGGCUGGGACAGGCUGGGCAGCUCGCUCUACCUGUGACCAUCAUCAGCCUGACUCAGUGCU